This 160-nucleotide ribosomal RNA is filed under the name Sphenomorpha cf. wallacei MB-2015. RNAcentral describes it as "partial 18S ribosomal RNA". It matches the Rfam family "Eukaryotic small subunit ribosomal RNA", at positions 131 to 286 of the family's 1831-position model. The record is from RNAcentral. Lineage: Eukaryota; Metazoa; Arthropoda; Insecta; Coleoptera; Curculionidae.
GUACCCACAAUUACUUGGAUAACUGUGGUAAUUCUAGAGCUAAUACAUGCAAACAGAGCUCCGACCGGAGACGGAAGGAGUGCUUUUAUUAGAUCAAAACCAAUCGGUGGCGAGUUGGUGACUCUGAAUAACUUUACGCUGAUCGCACGGUCUCGCACCG